UUGGAGGGCAAGUCUGGUGCCAGCAGCCGCGGUAAUUCCAGCUCCAAUAGCGUAUAUUAAAGUUGUUGCAGUUAAAAAGCUCGUAGUUGAAUUUCGGGAUCAAAUAAUCGGUCGUGCCUCCGGUACGUACUGGUUUUAUUGGUUCCUCCCUUCUGACGAACCAUGAUGUCAUUAAUUUGAUGUGGUGGAGAAUCAGGACUGUUACCUUGAAAAAAUUAGAGUGUUUAAAGCAGGCUAACGCUUGAAUACAUUAGCAUGGAAUAAUGAAAUAGGACGUUCGACCCUAUUUUGUUGGUUUCUAGGAUCGACGUAAUGAUUAAUAGGGAUAGUUGGGGGCAUUAGUAUUCAAUUGUCAGAGGUGAAAUUCUUGGAUUUAUUGAAGACUAACUACUGCGAAAGCAUUUGCCAAGGAUGUUUUCAUUAAUCAAGAACGAAAGUUAGGGGAUCGAAGACGAUCAGAUACCGUCGUAGUCUUAACCAUAAACUAUGCCGACUAGGGAUCGGAUGAUGUUAAUUUUUUAAUGACUCAUUCGGCGCCUUACGGGAAAC
Molecule: ribosomal RNA, 549 nt
Filed under: uncultured Glomus
Lineage: Eukaryota; Fungi; Glomeromycota; Glomeromycetes; Glomerales; Glomeraceae
Also listed under: 1 other name
Description: SSU rRNA
Rfam family: Eukaryotic small subunit ribosomal RNA
Source: RNAcentral